This 500-nucleotide ribosomal RNA is filed under the name uncultured bacterium. RNAcentral describes it as "partial 16S ribosomal RNA". It matches the Rfam family "Bacterial small subunit ribosomal RNA", at positions 30 to 523 of the family's 1533-position model. The record is from RNAcentral.
AUUGAACGCUGGCGGAAUGCUUUACACAUGCAAGUCGAACGGCAGCACGGACUUCGGUCUGGUGGCGAGUGGCGAACGGGUGAGUAAUACAUCGGAACGUACCCUGACGUGGGGGAUAACGUAGCGAAAGUUACGCUAAUACCGCAUACGUCCUGAGGGAGAAAGCAGGGGAUCGUAAGACCUUGCGCGUUAGGAGCGGCCGAUGGCGGAUUAGCUAGUUGGUAGGGUAAAGGCCUACCAAGGCGACGAUCCGUAGCGGGUCUGAGAGGACGACCCGCCACACUGGAACCGAGACACGGUCCAGACUCCUACGGGAGGCAGCAGUGGGGAAUUUUGGACAAUGGGCGAAAGCCUGAUCCAGCCAUUCCGCGUGAGUGAAGAAGGCCUUCGGGUUGUAAAGCUCUUUCGGCAGGGAAGAAACGGUUUUGGAUAAUACCCAGAACUAAUGACGGUACCUGAAGAAGAAGCACCGGCUAACUACGUGCCAGCAGCCGCCGUAA